This 239-nucleotide unclassified non-coding RNA is filed under the name air metagenome. RNAcentral's name for it is "partial contains small subunit ribosomal RNA, internal transcribed spacer 1, and 5.8S ribosomal RNA". The stretch from base 1 to 46 matches the Rfam family "Eukaryotic small subunit ribosomal RNA", at positions 1786 to 1831 of the family's 1831-position model. The record is from RNAcentral.
AAGUCGUAACAAGGUCUCCGUUGGUGAACCAGCGGAGGGAUCAUUAUAGAGUUAUAAAACUCCCAACCCAUGUGAACUUACCAUUGUUGCCUCGGUGGAGCCUACCCUGUAGCGAGUUACCCUGUAACGAGUUACCCUGUAUCGGUCCGCCGGUGGAUUUUUAAACUAUUGUUAUUCGUGUCAUCUGAGCGUCUUAUUUUAAUAAGUCAAAACUUUCAACAACGGAUCUCUUGGUUCUG